ACGGAAGUUCAAGUUCAGAAUAAAUACGGAAAAGCAGGUAGGGUCGUUGACUCUGGUAUGACGACCUUAGGUGCUGCGAAACGCUCAUCAUGAAUGUCUCCCGCUUUUUGAUCGCUCUUGUUUUGGUCGUACCGCAUUUUUGUUUAGACAAUCGCAACCAAGAAAUUGAUAAGAAUAAUGAUAAGGCCACUAGAGAAUCAAGAUUGAGGAGGGCCAUCAUAAAAACGUCGUCUCCUGCUUUGUUACUGCUCUCGUUAUCCGUAGGAGCAAUAGCAACGUUUUACUUAUUAGAAUCUCCCCUCUCUCCGUUACCUCUUCUUCCCUUGCCCUAUCCACCGGUUGGCACUUAUCCACCCAAAGAAACGGUGGCUGCCGGAAGAAAUUUUGCCAAGAAUCAAUGGAUGCUGUUUACUAAACAUUGACAUUUGAUUAAAUAUCCGGGUAAAAUGUGAUAUUGAGAGGAUUCCGAAAGAAAAUACGAGAUUUAUAAUAACUAAAAUGUC
This 503-nucleotide unclassified non-coding RNA is filed under the name Centruroides sculpturatus (bark scorpion). RNAcentral describes it as "uncharacterized LOC111640571, transcript variant X2". Lineage: Eukaryota; Metazoa; Arthropoda; Arachnida; Scorpiones; Buthidae. The record is from RNAcentral.